Long non-coding RNA from Marmota monax (woodchuck), 710 nucleotides. RefSeq lists it as uncharacterized. The record is from RefSeq and is a predicted model, not a curated record. The transcript is spliced from 4 exons. Lineage: Eukaryota; Metazoa; Chordata; Mammalia; Rodentia; Sciuridae.
CUAGUGCCGGUUUGUUUACAGAGACUCCAGCAACAAUCAUGAGUCAGAAAUUCAAGCCGCCAGAUGCUUUCCAACUAACAGGGACCAAACGGGACCGUUCUAAGGUGUCCUAAACGAUUUGGAGGUGGGAGUUGGUAAACUAAGAGAAUCCUAUCCUAAAGAGGACAAGACCAGACGGCAACAACCGACUCCCGGUUCCUUGGACCUCGGCAUUCCGUACAAGAAGUUAAUAUGGCAAGGAAAUGAUGCCUCCCGGACAGCAGAGAAAGGACCUGAGGAAUACCAACACCCAUGAGUAGAAGUGGAAUUAGGAGAAUUCAAUCUGGAAUAUAGACUUCGGAUAGACAAGAGCUAAGCCAUUCUCCAAACAGUGAGUUUUCGGCAGAUACAACAUCUUUGUUUGUAUGUGGUGCUGAGGAUCGAACCCGGGCCGAAUGCAUGCCAGGCACCUAUCAUGUUACCGUUUCUGCUGUACAUCAAAGAGUGUGAUGGAAUCUGCAUCUCGAAGUAGAAGAUUGCCUGUGCCAGCAUAGAAGAUCUCAUCACAGUUGGGCACCUGUACCUUUUUGGUGAUCUCAUUUUUCAAAUUCUUGAUCAGAAGCUGAAAGGAAUGUUAAAGAAUUAAGAGAAAAAGUGAUUACACAAAAUGAUGACAGCUAAUGACAUCCCUCAGCAAUUAUUCCUUAGCUUCAAUAAACUAAGUAUAUUUC